RNAcentral lists this ribosomal RNA (253 nucleotides) under uncultured bacterium. Its description in RNAcentral is "partial 16S ribosomal RNA". It matches the Rfam family "Bacterial small subunit ribosomal RNA", at positions 524 to 776 of the family's 1533-position model. The record is from RNAcentral.
UACGAAGGGGGCUAGCGUUGCUCGGAAUCACUGGGCGUAAAGAGCUCGUAGGCGGUCUGUUGCGUCGGCUGUGAAAACCCGGGGCUCAACCCCGGGCCUGCAGCCGAUACGGGCAGACUAGAGUUCGGCAGGGGAGACUGGAAUUCCUGGUGUAGCGGUGAAAUGCGCAGAUAUCAGGAAGAACACCCGUGGCUAAGGCGGCUCUCUAGUACGGUACUGACGCUGAGACGCGAAAGCGUGGGGAGCGAACAGG